This 465-nucleotide ribosomal RNA is filed under the name uncultured bacterium. Its description in RNAcentral is "partial 16S ribosomal RNA". It matches the Rfam family "Bacterial small subunit ribosomal RNA", at positions 338 to 795 of the family's 1533-position model. The record is from RNAcentral.
CCUACGGGUGGCAGCAGUAGGGAAUCUUCCACAAUGGGCGCAAGCCUGAUGGAGCAACACCGCGUGAGUGAAGAAGGGUUUCGGCUCGUAAAGCUCUGUUGUUGGAGAAGAACGUGCGUGAGAGUAACUGUUCACGCAGUGACGGUAUCCAACCAGCAAGUCCCGGCUAACUACGUGCCAGAAGCCGCGGUAAUACGUCGGUGGCAAGCGUUAUCCGGAUUUAUUGGGCGUAAAGCGAGCGCAGGCGGUUGCUUAGGUCUGAUGUGAAAGCCUUCGGCUUAACCGAAGAAGUGCAUCGGAAACAGGGCAACUUGAGUGCAGAAGAGGACAGUGGAACUCCAUGUGUAGCGGUGGAAUGCGUAGAUAUAUGGAAGAACACCAGUGGCGAAGGCGGCUGUCUGGGCUGCAACUGACGCUGAGGCUCGAAAGCAUGGGUAGCGAACAGGAUUAGAUACCCGAGUAGUC